Molecule: ribosomal RNA, 295 nt
Filed under: uncultured cyanobacterium
Lineage: Bacteria; Bacillati; Cyanobacteriota
Description: partial 16S ribosomal RNA
Rfam family: Bacterial small subunit ribosomal RNA
Source: RNAcentral
UGAGUUUGAUUCUGGCUCAGGAUGAACGCUGGCGGUCUGCUUAACACAUGCAAGUCGAACGAACUCUUCGGAGUGAGUGGCGGACGGGUGAGUAACGCGUGAGAAUCUGCCUGUGGGUCGGGGACAACUACUGGAAACGGUGGCUAAUACCGGAUGAGCCGAAAGGUAAAAGAUUUAUUGCCCACAGAUGAGCUCGCGUCUGAUUAGCUAGUUGGUAAGGUAAAAGCGUACCAAGGCGACGAUCAGUAGCUGGUCUGAGAGGAUGAGCAGCCACACUGGGACUGAGACACGGCCC